This 425-nucleotide long non-coding RNA is filed under the name Monodelphis domestica (gray short-tailed opossum). RNAcentral describes it as "lncRNA (ENSMODG00000049261.1)". The record is from RNAcentral. Lineage: Eukaryota; Metazoa; Chordata; Mammalia; Didelphimorphia; Didelphidae.
CAUCUAUGAUUUCCUGUCUUUCCUGUUUCCGCUUCGAAGCAGACUCGUCUGUCGUGAUGUAGGAAGAAGGUAACAAUCAAGUUAUGGAUACCCAGGAUGCUAUAAACCCCUGUAAACUAUAACUAUCCAGAAAGAAGAGCACAUGAGGUGGGAGGUAUGUUUCAUCACAGUCUCAGAAGAUGAUCAGUUUCAUGACCACCCUCUGCCUUUCCCAUCGCAGCCUGUUUGCUGCCCCUGAAUCCAGCAAAAUUCAGUUCCCUGGAAAACCUUCCUACCUCCCUCUAAUUAAAAUGAAGAAACAAAAGCUUGGAAUGAAUACCAUCUGUAGACAUCUGAGCUACAAUGUACCCUCAAGACAUCUGGACCUUGUCAUUCAACCUGCAGAUCCCUUGGGUUCUCAACUAAAGUCUUAUCUGUCACUGAAU